CACAACAAAUCACAUCUCGGAUGGUAUUGUCACCAUUAGUCCUCUACAUAGUCCAACUGUGCCGGGACGUAGAAUGGGUACAACCGGUCUUUCCCUUAACAUAACAUAUCAUACAGUCCAACUGUGCCAGGGACGUAGAAUGGGUACAACCUGGACUUCCAUACCAUAUCAUUCCGUAACAUCAUCAUAACAUAUGAGGACUAAAGGAUCAUCCAAUAACCAAUCCACAUCAACAUCAUAAAUGCAAUGCAACAUAUUCGUGAAUACUAAUGCAAACAACCUACUAUAUCUCAUGGCAUUCAUGAUGCAUGGAUCAUGCUCAAAAUUCAUAUUUCAUUU
This 339-nucleotide long non-coding RNA is filed under the name Manihot esculenta (cassava). RNAcentral's name for it is "long non-coding RNA (MESC_LNC004298)". The record is from RNAcentral. Lineage: Eukaryota; Viridiplantae; Streptophyta; Magnoliopsida; Malpighiales; Euphorbiaceae.